Long non-coding RNA from Anguilla rostrata (American eel), 1201 nucleotides. RefSeq lists it as uncharacterized. The record is from RefSeq and is a predicted model, not a curated record. The transcript is spliced from 2 exons. Lineage: Eukaryota; Metazoa; Chordata; Actinopteri; Anguilliformes; Anguillidae.
UACAGAGCAGGGAACUGAGAAGUUUCUUUUGUCUUUGUUAUUUUAGUGUAUUGUUUUUGCCUGGAACCUGUGAGGGGUGAAGGUGUCCGUUUAUUUUAUUAAGUGUUUGUGUGAGUGCGCUCUUUCUGUCCAUGUGACAGACAACGGUGUUGCCUGGUACUGCCACAUCUCCCUCCUGGUGCAUACACCUUUAAAUCACUCUGAACUCUGCUCAGGAGCAUCUGCUCAAUGGUGGGGAAAACAGAAGCACUAAUUUCAGCACAAGCAGGAGACUUGCUGGUGAUCAACUGAUACGGGGCUCCAAUUCCACUCUGCAAUCAAGACCUUCCUAAACUUAAGACCUUCCGGUUAACCCUGUGUUAGUACAGUACUUUGGAAACCUGUCAUAAGAGGCUUAAUACAGAGCUUUGUCUAAUCUGGUUUUCACUAGCAUUUUAUUGAUUGAGAGUUAAACCAGUAAAGAGAAUUAAACCAGAUGAACACUGUUCACCCUCACAGGAUCCUGGUUAAGGUAACAAAUUUAAACAAAAAAAGUGAAAAUAAACCAAAAGAAAAUGAAGGCUUUCAGCAGGGUUCUUCUUUCUCAGUCUUUCUCUGCAUGACUCCAGGUCACAGCCACCUCCUAUGGAAAGAAGCACACUUAAGCCAUGGGCUGAUUUGGUAACGGACCCAGGUGUGUGUGCCUACUUAACCUGUGGGUGUGGCCCCAAACUGCCCCAAUUCCCUCUCACAGACAGAACCCUGCCACUGACUUGCUUUUCUAGAUGUUAUGAACUAAGCUCAAACAAAUGUAACAAGGGUAGUAAUCAAGCAUUACAUUAUACAGUGCCUUGAUUAAAAUGUUUUGUCAUUGAAAAGAAAUAUAUAUAAUUUUUUUCUCAGUUGCCAAGCAUAUUUUCACACUUUACAUAAAUGCAUGGAAACCAGUUGUGAUGUAUAUGAUGACUGAUCUAAGGGUCUAAAAAUAUUAUUUUGAUUAUACCAUUCAGUCCUAACCCUAGCCAUGUUCCAACAUAAAUAGUCUCAUACGUUCCUUAUAGGACAUGCAUUUCUGUCAGACAACCAGGCCACAAGUGAUAAGACAUGUAUUUAUGCAUACAUCUCAGCUUCUUGUAAAAUGCAUACAUUGUGAACUGAUUAAAUGGAAAUAAAAUUAACUCAUGUUGCACAGCGUUGUUUGGACACAUCCCAAGGGGAAUUA